UACCCCCGGCACGAUACAGUCACCCUUUUUCAUCCUCUCUAGAAGUCAUAUCACACCCUCUCCAGAGGAAAACGCGGAGUACCAGCCCCACACGUACGCACAAAAGCCAGGGGGCUCGGCGGAGCGGCCGCUGUUCCGUGUUUGGCAACACCUUGGUGUGAAGUCCCAUUAACGCAAGGCAACAAAAGCCAUUUGCGAUGAAAUCCACACGCUCACACGUGUGCACACUGGAACACCGAUCCUGAGGGAAGGGAGGGGGAAGAGACACGCUUUCCAUCCGAAAUGUAACUGAGGAACAUAUGUGUUUGUUUUCCGGGUAAAAAGAAAAACCCCCAACGAACAAACAAAAAACCACAAACCCCAAUACCCCUGACAUCUCAUUCCUAGAAAUCAAGCACCCGCCAGCGAGUGGAUCUAAAAGCUCAGCUCCCGCAUCGGGAGACAGCUUCAUCCCAAAGUCCUCGAUCCGAGACUUGAUCACCAAAACACUUAGUCGGCGCUGAGCCUGGCGAAUCCUCAGUUUCUUUCCCAAGCUACAGCAUCGCCCAAAACAGCAGCAGGGUCGGACGGGAGAGUGCCCCCUUCGACCCAGAGCCAGCCACCUAUCCAUCCAUCUAUCCAUCCAUCCAUAUGGAUGAGUGUAGCAUCCUACAAGAGCCUUAUCUACCUAUAGACCAGGCUGCUGCUUGGAUCCUGUUUGCCCUUCCUCAUACACUUCCGACAAAGCCGGGUUUCCACAAGCCCCGAAGUUCCUGGGGAAGGACCCCAGCCCCUCUCCGGCUGCAGGACCGCAAGGAAGCCUGACGACGGAGCAGAAGUUUUCCUAAACGAAAUUGAGAGACGGAGGGAUGCUGAAGGCUCCCGCUCGCAGCUGCGGGGCCUGGGCUCUGCCCGGGCCCGGGGGAAGAGCUUACCUCGCAUUCCUCAUACUUGAUAUUAUCCGUCAGUUUCCAAAGCAUUUUCAUGGAUUGGCGUGAGAGAGAGGAUUUGGUUCUCCCUGCCUUGCCUCUCCCUACGGUGGCGGUGCCGGGCGGCGUGGGGAGCGCGGCUGGCGGAGGCUGGCUCCCGUCCGCGCUCGGAGAUCUCCCUCUAAUGGUGGAAAGUUUUUCCUUUUCCAGCUCUUUACCCACAGUCUAAUCGCCUCAUUAGCAUAUCAACAACAGCCCAAUUGCUCGCCAGCACAACAACCUGCAGCGAUGGACACAGGUAGAAAGGACCCACGAGCAAGAAAAAAAAUAAUAAAUUAACAGUGAAAAAAAAAAAGCUUUCUCCGACCUGCCGAGCCCUGGUGCGGGGGCCAGAGGGCCCUGCCUGCCUGCCUGCGGGCCGCCGCUCCCCUCGUGCCUCUACCUGCCAGCAGGGAAGUGGUCAGUGAAAUCAAAGAGGCGACCGUCCCUUCAUCUGCAGAGAGUUUGGAACUAGCCAUGAAGCCACCCCAUGGGAUUUACCUCUCCUUCCUCCCCCCCUUUCUUUUUUUUUCAUGGAGGUUAAAGAAACCAAAGCAAGCAGAAACGAGACUCGAGUCUUGCUCGAACGAAGUUAUUGUCUGCGGAGGCUUUUGUUGCCCUCUGGAUUUGAUUUGAUCUUUUUUGGUGGACAUUUGAAAAGCUUCUUUCCUUCGCAAACUAUUUUUUUUUCUUCUCGGCUCUGUUGUCUAUAUGUCUUCAAAAAAAUACCACCCCAAACAAAUCCAGCAUAACCUCCCAGAUAAAAGUGGGUGAACGGUAAAGUGAAUGAAGCAGGAGCAAAAAAAUCUUUUGCGAGCACUUGAGCAAAGGGAUGAAACAAUGACCACAAUAAAACUUUGGCACUUUCUUA
This is a long non-coding RNA of Pseudopipra pipra, 1818 nucleotides long. RefSeq lists it as uncharacterized. NCBI's taxonomy places the organism in Eukaryota, Metazoa, Chordata, Aves, Passeriformes, Pipridae. The record is from RefSeq and is a predicted model, not a curated record. The transcript is spliced from 2 exons.